This 312-nucleotide long non-coding RNA is filed under the name Oryzias javanicus (javanese ricefish). RNAcentral's name for it is "lncRNA (ENSOJAG00000019119.1)". Lineage: Eukaryota; Metazoa; Chordata; Actinopteri; Beloniformes; Adrianichthyidae. The record is from RNAcentral.
UUAAAACAGCUGCAGUGCUCGGACAGUAACUGUCUUUCUUUAAGGGAAAUGGAUCGUUUUAUUAGUGACUGUAAAGGGAAAAUCCGAGACCCAAGGACAUGAAAAUACAUCCGUUCCAGGUGAAGUUUCUUUAAGCAAAGUUCCAGAGCAGUUUUUGCCUGAAGAACAGAGGGCAGCUCUACGAGGGAGUACAACGGAGACUAAAGUCCUUUGGAAGAGCCAUUUUUCCUGGACCUGCUGCAUAAGCCUGACUGGUUGUUGAGGAGAGGAGCCGUGAUCCCUGCCUGGAGUGUCGGGCUGAUGAGCUGCAAA